RNAcentral lists this long non-coding RNA (3361 nucleotides) under Brassica rapa (field mustard). RNAcentral's name for it is "long non-coding RNA (BRAP_LNC004208)". Lineage: Eukaryota; Viridiplantae; Streptophyta; Magnoliopsida; Brassicales; Brassicaceae. The record is from RNAcentral.
AUUGAGAAAUAUUGUAGAUUUAGGGUUGUGAUUUAGAAUUUAGGAUAACAAGAAAUUUUGUUGAUAGAUGAGUAUUCUUUGUGGACUUUUGAUCAAUAAGUUGUAUUUUUAAGAUAAAAUUCUCAAAAGUGUUAUUUAGGAAAGUUUUAUUUUUAUUGGGAAAUAUUGUAGAUUUGGGGUUCAGAUUAAAAAUAUUAGAACAACAAGAAUUUUUGUUGAUAGGUGAGCAUUCUUUUAAAAGUUUUGAUCAAUAGGUUGUAUAUUUUAUAUAAAAUUCUCAAAAAUUCUAUUUUUGGAAAGUUUCAUUUUUGUGAAUAAUAGUGUGGAUUUGGGGUUUUGAUUUAGAAAUUAGGAUAACAAAAAUUAUUUGUUGAUAGAUGGAGUAUUCUUUUACAUUUUUUGAUGAAUAGUUGUAUUUUUUAAAUAUAAUUAUCAAAAGUUCUAUUUUAGGAAAGUUUUCAUUUAGGUGAAUAAUAGUGUGUAUUUGGGGUUUUGAUUUAGAAAUUAGGAUAACAAGAAUUGUUUGUUUAAUGAUGGAGUAUUCUUUUAGAUUUUUUGACGAAUAGUUGUAUUUUUUAAAUAUAAUUAUCAAAAGUUCUAUUUUAGGAAAGUUUUCAUUGUCUAUAGAAAUAUUGUAGAUUUGGAGUUGUGAUUUAGAAAUUAGGAUAACAAUAUUUUUUGUUGAUGUAUGAGUAUUUGUUUAGAUUUUUGGAUCAAUAGGUUAUAUUUUAGAUAAAAUUCUCAAAACUUCUAUUUUUAGAAAGUUUUCAUUUUUAUUGAGAAAUAUUGUAGAGUUAGGGUUGUGAUUUAGAAUUUAGGAUAACAAGAAAUUUUGUUGAUAGAUGAGUAUUCUUUGAGGAUUUUUGAUCAAUAAGUUGUAUUUUUAAGAUAAAAUUCUCAAAAAAUCUAUUUUAGGAAAGUUUUAUUUUUAUUUGGAAAUAUUGUAGAUUUGGGGUUCAGAUUAAAAAUAUUAGAACAACAAGAAUUUUUGUUGAUAGGUGAGCAUUUUUUUAAAAGUUUUGAUCACUAGGUUGUAUAUUUUAUAUAAAAUUCUCAAAAAUUCUAUUUUUGGAAAGUUUCAUUUUUGUGAAUAAUAGUGUGGAUUUGGGGUUUUGAUUUAGAAAUUAGGAUAACAAGAAUUGUUUGUUGAUAGAUGGAGUAUUCUUUUACAUUUUUUGAUGAAUAGUUGUAUUUUUAAAAUAUAAUUCUCAAAAGUUCUAUUUUAGGAAAGUUUCCAUUUUGAUGAAUAAUAGUGUGGAUUUGGGGUUUUGAUUUAGAAAUUAGGAUAACAAGAAUUGUUUGUUGAAAGAUGGAGUAUUCUUUUAGAUUUUUUGAUCAAUAGUUGUAUUUUUUAAAUAUAAUUCUCAAAAGUUCUAUUUUAUAAAAGUUUUCAUUUUCUAUAAAAAUAUUGUAGAUUUGGGGUUGUGAUUUAGAAAUUAGGAUAACAAUAUUUUUUGUUGAUGUAUGAGUAUUUUUUUAGAUUUUUUGGAUCAAUAGGUUGUUUAUCUUAGAUAAAAUUCUCAAAACUUCUAUUUUUAGAAAGUUUUCAUUUUUAUUGAGAAAUAUUGUAGAUUUAGGGUUGUAAUUUAGAAUUUAGGAUAACAAGAAAUUUUGUUGAUAGAUGAGUAUUCUUUGAGGAUUUUUGAUCAAUAAGUUGUAUUUUUAAGAUAAAAUUCUCAAAAAAGUUAUUUAGGAAAGUUUUAUUUUUAUUGGGAAAUAUUGUAGAUUUGGGGUUCAGAUUAAAAAUAUUAGAACAACAAGAAUUUUUGUUGAUAGGUGAGCAUUUCUUAAAAGUUUUGAUCAAUAGGUUGUAUAUUUUAUAUAAAAUUCUCAAAAAUUCUAUUUUUGGAAAUUUUCAUUUUUGUGAAUAAUAGUGUGGAUUUGGGGUUUUGAUUUAGAAAUUAGGAUAACAAGAAUUGUUUGUUGAUAGAUGGAGUAUUCUUUUACAUUUUUUGAUGAAUAGUUGUAUUUUUAAAAUAUAAUUCUCAAAAGUUCUAUUUUAGGAAAGUUUCCAUUUUGUUGAAUAAUAGUGUGGAUUUGGGGUUUUGAUUUAGAAAUUAGGAUAACAAGAAUUGUUUUUUGAUAGAUGGAGUAUUCUUUUAGAUUUUUUGAUCAAUAGUUGUAUUUUUUAAAUAUAAUUAUCAAAAUUCUAUUUUAGGAAAGUUUUCAUUGUCUAUAGAAAUAUUGUAGAUUUGGGGUUGUGAUUUAGAAAUUAGGAUAACAAUAUUUUUUGUUGAUAUAUGAGUAUUUGUUUAGAUUUUUGGAUCAAUAGGUUGUUUAUCUUAGAUAAAAUUCUCAAAACUUCUAUUUUUAGAAAGUUUUCAUUUUUAUUGAGAAAUAUUGUAGAGUUAGGGUUGGGAUUUUUGAAUUUAGGAUAACAAGAAAUUUUGUUGAUAGAUGAGUAUUCUUUGAGGAUUUUUGAUCAAUAAGUUGUAUUUUUAAGAUAAAAUUCUCAAAAAUCUAUUUUAGGAAAGUUUUAUUUUUAAUUGGAAAUAUUGUAGAUUUGGGGUUCAGAUUAAAAAUAUUAGAACAACAAGAAUUUUUGUUGAUAGGUGAGUAUUUUUUUAAAAGUUAUGAUCACUAGGUUGUAUAUUUUAUAUAAAAUUCUCAAAAAUUCUAUUUUUGGAACGUUUUCAUUUUUGUGAAUAAUAGUGUGGAUUUGGGGUUUUGAUUUAGAAAUUAGGAUAACAAGAAUUGUUUGUUGAUAGAUGGAGUAUUCUUUUACAUUUUUUGAUGAAUAGUUGUAUUUUUUUAAAUAUAAUUCUCAAAAGUUAUAUUUUAGAAAAAAAAAAUUUUUGGUGAAUAAUAGUGUGGAUUUGGGGUUUUGAUAUAGAAAUUAGGAUAACAAGAAUUGUUUGUUUACAGAUGGAGUAUUCUUUUAGAUUUUUUGAUCAAUAGUUGUAUUUUUUAAAUAUAAUUAUCAAAAGUUCUAUUUUAGGAAAGUUUUCAUUGUAUAUAGAAAUAUUGUAGAUUUGGGGUUGUGGUUUAGAAAUUAGGAUAACAAUAUUUUUUGUUGAUGUAUGAGUAUUUUUUUAGAUUUUUUGAUCAAUAGGUUGUUAUUUUAGAUAAAAUUCUCAAAACUUCUAUUUUUAGAAAGUUUUCAUUUUUAUUGAGAAAUAUUGUAGAUUUAAGGUUGUGAUUUAGAAUUUAGGAUAACAAGAAAUUUUGUUGAUAGAUGAGUAUUCUUUGAGGAUUUUUGAUCAAUAAGUUGUAUUUUUAAGAUAAAAUUCUCAAAAAUGUUAUUUAGGAAAGUUUUAUUUUUAUUGGGAAAUAUUGUAGAUUUGGGGUUCAGAUUAAAAAUAUUAGAACAACAAGAAUUUUUGUUGAUAGGUGAGCAUUCUUUUAAAAGUUUUGAUCAAUA